GACGAACGCUGGCGGCGUGCUUAACACAUGCAAGUCGAACGGAAAGGCCCCUUUGGGGGUACUCGAGUGGCGAACGGGUGAGUAACACGUGAGUAACCUGCCCUUGACUUCGGGAUAACUUCAGGAAACUGGGGCUAAUACCGGAUAGGAAUCCUUGCUGCAUGGUGGGGGUUGGAAAGCUUCGGCGGUUUUGGAUGGACUCGCGGCUUAUCAGCUUGUUGGUGGGGUAGUGGCUUACCAAGGCUUUGACGGGUAGCCGGCCUGAGAGGGCGACCGGCCACAUUGGGACUGAGAUACGGCCCAGACUGCUACGGGAGGCAGCAGUGGGGAAUAUUGCACAAUGGGCGGAAGCCUGAUGCAGCAACGCCGCGGGCGGGAUAACGGCCUUCGGGUUGUAAACCGCUUUCAGCAGGAGCGAAGCUUGUGGUGACGGUACCUGCAGAAGAAGCACCGGCUAACUACGUG
This 465-nucleotide ribosomal RNA is filed under the name uncultured bacterium. RNAcentral's name for it is "partial 16S ribosomal RNA". It matches the Rfam family "Bacterial small subunit ribosomal RNA", at positions 28 to 507 of the family's 1533-position model. The record is from RNAcentral.